UACCGUAGCCGAGCUGGAAGUUGGUAGGCCCAAAUAGUAAGCCCAAAUAGUAAGCCCAAUUGUUCGGCCCGAUUGGUAAGCCCAAAUGUUAAGCCCAAUUGUUCGGCCCGAAUGGUAGGCCCAAAUGUUAAACCCAAAUUGGUUCGGGCCGGUUCGAAAUGUGGAUGGUUCGGUUUCUUCGGCCCAAUUGGCCAGCCCUAAUGCUUAGCCCAAGGAUUGAGCAAGCCCAAGUCAUCAUCACUGGGUAACAUAUUUUAUUGGCGUGCUUUUGGGGACGAAUUGUUUUGAGUGAUGCAUCUCUAUUGUUGUGUAGAAUGGUGCAUGCUUGAGUUUUACUAUAGAGACUUACCGUGAUGCUAAUUGAGUAGCGAAACACUUUGUGGGAGUGUUUACUGUGCUUGUAUGCCAGUACAAAGUGUUGAUCUAUGUGAGGAUCUAUGAGAUGAUCCAUGUGACGAUUUUGUGUAUGUGAUGUGGAGUGUUGUUGAGCAGUUGUUGUGUGAGUUUACGUUUGUGAUGAAAGGAUUUAGUGGCCAUAGGAAUGUAUUUUUAUACAAAGAGCUGAGGCUCUGUAGAUUACUACAGAUUUGGAAAAGAUGGAGAUUCUAUGGUUAGGUCAACCUUAAUCGAGAGGAAUUGACUUGCGCUUAAAUUUCGGGACGAAAUUUCUUUAAGGAGGGUAGAUUGUAAUACCCGAAAAAUUCAAAUUAACGUCCGAUGUCAUUUUGGAAAUGAUUUCGUAGGCGUGGGCACGAAUACGAAGCUUGAAGGAGUUGUGGAAUUAGUUCGAACGAUUUUAUUUCGAAAACGAACGUUAUUUAGGGGGUCUUAAAAAGUGACUUCUUAUACGUACAGAAUUUGGGAAAACUUUCUUCAUGAAAGUUGUAGAGCUCGUCGAUACGAUCUCGUGCGUAUGUUGAACGCAAUAUUCGGAGUUUGUAUGAAUAAGUUAUGAAUAUUUGAAAAUCGGGAUUUUUUUUCUAUAAAUAUGGAGAAUUUCUGGAAUUUUUCUUAAAUCCCAAAAUUUCCUAUUCUUUCUAUUUUCUCCCCCGGUUUUCUCUCUUCUCUCUCCUCUCCCCCGACCUUUUUCUCUUCUUUCUGGGCGUUCUUCCUCUGCCAGCAGCGCCACCGUCCGGCCACCUCAAGCCGCUCUCGAGGUGUCCACGGCUUCGCCUCGACGUCGUCUAGCUACUGGACGUGACCACUUUCCCCGGAACGGCCUCAAAUCCGGCAAACCGGAGCUGCAAGGUUUGAGCCAAAAACAGUCAACGCCGGUUUUCUCCUAAUUCCGGCCACCAAAACUCACGAUCCUUAGCUCCCUGAACUCACCUCAACAUGCUGAUCAUCAUCCUAGAAGGAUCGCACCUGGAGUGACCGGAUUCACGUUCGUCGGAGCUCGGCCGGCUUUAAUUCGAAAACCACCUUCGAAUCCGAUUUUCUCGAGUUAUAGACCACCUUUUCUUGUGAUUCUUGGCCUGGUGAGUUCACCUUGAGAUUAUUAACAACUCUCAAGAAGGGAUCGAGGCCUGAGGUUGAAGUUUUUACGUCGGAAUUCAAGCUCGCCGGAUUCUGGAAAAUUUCCGACCACGAAGACUUUCGAUCAAGAUAUCUCGAGCUGUAGUGCAUCGUUUUGAUUGAUUCUUUUUCCAGUGGGUUCCCCUUGAUGUUGUUAACAACUCUCUAGAAGGCAUCGAGGCCUGAAAUUGAAGUUUUUACGUCGAUCGGAGCCCUCGCCGGAUUCUGCAAAAUUCUGCAAAUUUUCCGACCACCGAAGCUUUCGAUCGGUAUAUCUCGAGCUACAGACCAUAUUUUUCUGUGAUUCUUGAACCAAUGCGUUCGUCUUGAGUUUCUUAACAACUCUCUAGAAGGAAUCGAAGCCUGAAAUUGAAGUUUUGACGUCGAAAUCAAGCCUUGCCGGAUUCUGCAAAUUUCGCCGGAUUCUGGAAAUUUUCCGGCCACCUCGACUGUUCUAGGUUAUCGACGGAUUGAUUUGGUGGACGAUUCGGAUUGAUGUAUUUGGCUUUUUAGAAGACGCAGCUGGAUUAGAGCGGGAAAUCCUACAGGUCAGGAAGAUCAAGGCGGAGAUCGUGCGGGUUAGAGUUUUUGUUUCAGUUUACAGCUUUGUAAAUUGUGAGAUGUAUUAUUAAGAGGUGUGAAGUGUGGUUGUUGUGAGAAAAAAAUUCAGGACGUUUAUUCUAUUAAGUUGUAUAAUUCAUGUUUCGGAUUUUAAUUGUAUUUAAAAUUCGGGGC
Molecule: long non-coding RNA, 2250 nt
Organism: Rosa rugosa (rugosa rose)
Lineage: Eukaryota; Viridiplantae; Streptophyta; Magnoliopsida; Rosales; Rosaceae
Exons: 3
Source: RefSeq, a predicted model, not a curated record